AGAGUUUGAUCAUGGCUCAGGAUGAACGCUGGCGGCGUGCCUAAUACAUGCAAGUCGAACGGAGAGCUAGUAAUAGUUCUUAGUGGCGAACGGGUGAGCAACGCGUUGGUGACCUGCCCCGAAACGGGGGAUAACAGUUCGAAAGGACUGCUAAUACCCCAUAAUAUCUUGGUAGUUAGAGAGCUAAGAUGAAAGGAGAAAUCCGUUUUGGGAGGGGCCUGCGUCCCAUCAGCUAGUUGGUAAGGUAAAAGCUUACCAAGGCGACGACGGGUAGGGGACCUGAGAGGGUGAUCCCCCACACUGGCACUGAAACACGGGCCAGACACCUACGGGUGGCAGCAGUAGGGAAUAUUGCACAAUGGGCGAAAGCCUGAUGCAGCAACGCCGCAUGCGCGAUGACGGCCUUCGGGUUGUAAAGCGCUUUUCGGGGAGAUGAGGAAGGACAGUAUCCCCGGAAUAAGGCUCGGCUAACUACGUGCCAGCAGCCGCGGUAACACGUAGGAGCCAAGCGUUAUCCGAAUUCACUGGGCGUAAAGCGCGUGCAGGCGGCUCGAUAAGUUGGAUGUAAAAGCUCCUGGCUCAACUGGGAGAGGACGUUCAAUACUGUCGGGCUAGAGGGCGACAGAGGGAGGUGGAAUUCCCGGUGUAGUGGUGAAAUGCGUAGAUAUCGGGAGGAACACCAGUGGCGAAAGCGGCCUCCUGGGUCGCACCUGACGCUCAGACGCGAAAGCUAGGGGAGCGAAUGGGAUUAGAAACCCCAGUAGUCCUAGCUGUAAACGAUGUAGACUUGGCGUCGGUGGGGUAAAAGCCAUCGGUGCCGAAGCAAACGCGAUAAGUCUACCGCCUGGGGACUACGGCCGCAAGGUUAAAACUCAAAGGAAUUG
Molecule: ribosomal RNA, 884 nt
Filed under: uncultured bacterium
Lineage: Bacteria
Description: bacterial SSU rRNA
Rfam family: Bacterial small subunit ribosomal RNA
Source: RNAcentral